UUGGGGCUCGAGAGGGAGGGACGUGGGAACCCGAGGGUUUGAGAGAAGCGGUGGCCAUCAGGGUUUUUGGAAGCAAAUCCGAAUCUUUGCUGGAAGGAGGUGAGCUUGGAUUGGUUUUCUCUUCUUUUCAUAUCAAUUCCUUGUUGAAUUUUUCGGUGGGAUAGCUUGUUUGACCGAAAUUUUUCCUUCUUUUGAGCAUAAAUUUCUGAAGUUGUAUGAUUGUUUGAGUUAAUUAAUUGUUAUUGGUUGAUUCAUAGAUCCAGAGUGAUCAAAAUCUUUGCUUCAAAACCGAUUUUUUCUUGAAGAAUCCUAAGGCUUCAAUCAGUAGUAGUGGUUCGAUAAUUCUGAACUUCAAGGUCUUGGAUUUUCUUUAGCGAGUGCACGUGAUUUCGUUUAACACGGUGUGGGUUUCGAUGAAACCAUUCGAAGCUUGUUAAAGAUGUGAUUUUUAUUAAAUAUGCUGGAGACUCGGGUUGGCUGCUGAUUUGAGACCCUUUUUUCCGUGGUUCUGGCUUUUGAUUGCAACUUUGGUUCGAGUUUUUUGUCAAGAAAUGCAAUUUAACUAGUUUGGUCUUUUCUGCUAUCGGCCGUUUUAGGUUGUCUUCGAACAAGCCAAGCAUCCUCUGACCCUUAAGUAUUUAAUGGUGUUAUGCGUCAAAUUUAUUAUCAAACCUGGGAGUGGAAGGAGUUGAGCUAAAUUCAAGAAUGUUUGGAAAUGCAAGUGAACUAUAAGUAGAGUAAACGAGAAUGAAAUUUGUCGCUAUAGUUGCCAUUGACAAGAGAAUAUAGAGGAGGUGUUUGAUAUCAAAAUGGGGGGAAAAACAAGAAAAAAUGAAGAGCUUUCUUUUUU
RNAcentral lists this long non-coding RNA (850 nucleotides) under Phoenix dactylifera (date palm). RNAcentral describes it as "long non-coding RNA (PDAC_LNC016225)". The record is from RNAcentral. Lineage: Eukaryota; Viridiplantae; Streptophyta; Magnoliopsida; Arecales; Arecaceae.